This is a small nucleolar RNA of Tachyglossus aculeatus (Australian echidna), 138 nucleotides long. The record is from RefSeq and is a predicted model, not a curated record. NCBI's taxonomy places the organism in Eukaryota, Metazoa, Chordata, Mammalia, Monotremata, Tachyglossidae.
CCCCUCUCAGGACUGCGCCUGGAGAGUUUCCAGUCCUCUACCAGUUUCGGCUGUGGGAGAGAGAGUCAAACAGAGACAUACCCAUUCCAUUCCUAGCUUGGGCAGUGGCUAGCCAGUAGAAGACAAUCUGCUACAAGU